UUAAGCGACUAAGCGUACACGGUGGAUGCCCUGGCAGUCAGAGGCGAUGAAGGACGUGCUAAUCUGCGAAAAGCGCCGGCGAGGUGAUAUGAACCUUUGACCCGGCGAUGUCCGAAUGGGGAAACCCAGUGCAAUUCGUUGCACUAUCGUUAACUGAAUACAUAGGUUAACGAGGCGAACCGGGGGAACUGAAACAUCUAAGUACCCCGAGGAAAAGAAAUCAACCGAGAUUCCCCCAGUAGCGGCGAGCGAACGGGGAGCAGCCCAGAGUCUGAAUCAGCUUGUGUGUUAGUGGAAGCGUCUGGAAAGUCGCACGGUACAGGGUGACAGUCCCGUACACGAAAGCACACAGGCUGUGAACUCGAAGAGUAGGGCGGGACACGUGGUAUCCUGUCUGAAUAUGGGGGGACCAUCCUCCAAGGCUAAAUACUCCUGACUGACCGAUAGUGAACCAGUACCGUGAGGGAAAGGCGAAAAGAACCCCGGCGAGGGGAGUGAAAAAGAACCUGAAACCGUGUACGUACAAGCAGUGGGAGCACCUUCGUGGUGUGACUGCGUACCUUUUGUAUAAUGGGUCAGCGACUUAUAUUCUGUAGCAAGGUUAACCGUAUAGGGGAGCCGAAGGGAAACCGAGUCUUAACUGGGCGUUAAGUUGCAGGGUAUAGACCCGAAACCCGGUGAUCUAGCCAUGGGCAGGUUGAAGGUUGGGUAACACUAACUGGAGGACCGAACCGACUAAUGUUGAAAAAUUAGCGGAUGACUUGUGGCUGGGGGUGAAAGGCCAAUCAAACCGGGAGAUAGCUGGUUCUCCCCGAAAGCUAUUUAGGUAGCGCCUCGUGAACUCAUCUUCGGGGGUAGAGCACUGUUUCGGCUAGGGGGCCAUCCCGGCUUACCAACCCGAUGCAAACUACGAAUACCGAAGAAUGUUAUCACGGGAGACACACGGCGGGUGCUAACGUCCGUCGUGAAGAGGGAAACAACCCAGACCGCCAGCUAAGGUCCCAAAGUCAUGGUUAAGUGGGAAACGAUGUGGGAAGGCACAGACAGCCAGGAUGUUGGCUUAGAAGCAGCCAUCAUUUAAAGAAAGCGUAAUAGCUCACUGGUCGAGUCGGCCUGCGCGGAAGAUGUAACGGGGCUAAACCAUGCACCGAAGCUGCGGCAGCGACGCGUAUGCGUUGUUGGGUAGGGGAGCGUUCUGUAAGCCGUUGAAGGUGUGCUGUGAGGCAUGCUGGAGGUAUCAGAAGUGCGAAUGCUGACAUAAGUAACGAUAAAGCGGGUGAAAAGCCCGCUCGCCGGAAGACCAAGGGUUCCUGUCCAACGUUAAUCGGGGCAGGGUGAGUCGACCCCUAAGGCGAGGCCGAAAGGCGUAGUCGAUGGGAAACAGGUUAAUAUUCCUGUACUUGGUGUUACUGCGAAGGGGGGACGGAGAAGGCUAUGUUAGCCGGGCGACGGUUGUCCCGGUUUAAGCAUGUAGGCGGAGGUUCCAGGUAAAUCCGGUACCUUUUAACGCUGAGGUGUGAUGACGAGGCACUACGGUGCUGAAGUAACAAAUGCCCUGCUUCCAGGAAAAGCCUCUAAGCAUCAGGUAACAUCAAAUCGUACCCCAAACCGACACAGGUGGUCAGGUAGAGAAUACCAAGGCGCUUGAGAGAACUCGGGUGAAGGAACUAGGCAAAAUGGUGCCGUAACUUCGGGAGAAGGCACGCUGAUAUGUAGGUGAAGCCCCUGCGGGUGGAGCUGAAAUCAGUCGAAGAUACCAGCUGGCUGCAACUGUUUAUUAAAAACACAGCACUGUGCAAACACGAAAGUGGACGUAUACGGUGUGACGCCUGCCCGGUGCCGGAAGGUUAAUUGAUGGGGUUAGCGGUAACGCGAAGCUCUUGAUCGAAGCCCCGGUAAACGGCGGCCGUAACUAUAACGGUCCUAAGGUAGCGAAAUUCCUUGUCGGGUAAGUUCCGACCUGCACGAAUGGCGUAAUGAUGGCCAGGCUGUCUCCACCCGAGACUCAGUGAAAUUGAACUCGCUGUGAAGAUGCAGUGUACCCGCGGCAAGACGGAAAGACCCCGUGAACCUUUACUAUAGCUUGACACUGAACACUGGUCCUUGAUGUGUAGGAUAGGUGGGAGGCUUUGAAGCGUGGACGCCAGUCUGCGUGGAGCCGUCCUUGAAAUACCACCCUUUAAUGGCUGGUGUUCUAACGUAGACCCGUAAUCCGGGUUGCGGACAGUGUCUGGUGGGUAGUUUGACUGGGGCGGUCUCCUCCCAAAGAGUAACGGAGGAGCACGAAGGUUAGCUAAUCCUGGUCGGACAUCAGGAGGUUAGUGCAAUGGCAUAAGCUAGCUUGACUGCGAGAGUGACGGCUCGAGCAGGUGCGAAAGCAGGUCAUAGUGAUCCGGUGGUUCUGAAUGGAAGGGCCAUCGCUCAACGGAUAAAAGGUACUCCGGGGAUAACAGGCUGAUACCGCCCAAGAGUUCAUAUCGACGGCGGUGUUUGGCACCUCGAUGUCGGCUCAUCACAUCCUGGGGCUGAAGUAGGUCCCAAGGGUAUGGCUGUUCGCCAUUUAAAGUGGUACGCGAGCUGGGUUUAGAACGUCGUGAGACAGUUCGGUCCCUAUCUGCCGUGGGCGCUGGAGAAUUGAGGGGGGCUGCUCCUAGUACGAGAGGACCGGAGUGGACGCAUCACUGGUGUUCGGGUUGUCAUGCCAAUGGCACUGCCCGGUAGCUAAAUGCGGAAAAGAUAAGUGCUGAAAGCAUCUAAGCACGAAACUUGCCCCGAGAUGAGUUCUCCCUGACCCUUUAAGGGUCCUGAAGGAACGUUGAAGACGACGACGUUGAUAGGUCGGGUGUGUAAGCGCAGCGAUGCGUUGAGCUAACCGAUACUAAUGAACCGUGAGGCUUAACCUU
This 2903-nucleotide ribosomal RNA is filed under the name Enterobacter asburiae. Its description in RNAcentral is "23S ribosomal RNA". It matches the Rfam family "Bacterial large subunit ribosomal RNA". Lineage: Bacteria; Pseudomonadati; Pseudomonadota; Gammaproteobacteria; Enterobacterales; Enterobacteriaceae. RNAcentral also lists the same sequence under 1 other name. The record is from RNAcentral.